Molecule: long non-coding RNA, 267 nt
Filed under: Glycine max (soybean)
Lineage: Eukaryota; Viridiplantae; Streptophyta; Magnoliopsida; Fabales; Fabaceae
Description: long non-coding RNA (GMAX_LNC003078)
Source: RNAcentral
AGAAAUUUUUUGCUGGUGAAUGGUUUGAGUAAAUAAAUGGAAAGGAAAGGAGGAUGAAUCAUGUUCCAGCAAAGCAGUGCCUAAAGUAAUUUCCUUCCAUUGUGAGGCACACGAAUAGAAAAGUCACGCUACAGUAAUUUUAUGUUUUUGCACUUGAUGUAGAAUUUGAAUAGCAACAAAGAAAGAAAGAAGGAAGGAAGGAAAGAAAAAAGGUUAUGGUGAGGCAAUGACUAUUUGAAAUGUCUCACGGGGUUGGGUUUUCUCCCA